UGAGUAACCUGCCCUUCACUCUGGGAUAACUCCGGGAAACCGGGGCUAAUACUGGAUAUGACUCGAACAGGCAUCUGUUUCGGGUGGAAAGAUUUAUUGGUGGAGGAUGGACUCGCGGCCUAUCAGCUUGUUGGUGAGGUAAUGGCUCACCAAGGCGACGACGGGUAGCCGACCUGAGAGGGCGAUCGGCCACACUGGGACUGAGACACGGCCCAGACUCCUACGGGAGCA
RNAcentral lists this ribosomal RNA (231 nucleotides) under uncultured bacterium. RNAcentral describes it as "partial 16S ribosomal RNA". It matches the Rfam family "Bacterial small subunit ribosomal RNA", at positions 118 to 347 of the family's 1533-position model. The record is from RNAcentral.